GCAUAUCAAUAAGCGGAGGAAAAGAAAAUAACAAUGAUUCCCUCAGUAACGGCGAGCGAAGAGGGAUAAGCUCAAAUUUUAAAUCUGUUGGGUUUCACCUAACAGAGUUGUAUUUUGAAGAAACGUUUUCUGCGUCCAGGAUUAGCCUAAAUCCUUUGGGAUAAGGUAUCAUGGAGGGUGAGAAUCCCGUUCAUGGUUAAUCUUAAGGAUGCUCUACGAUACGUUCUCCAAGAGUCGAGUUGUUUGGGAUUGCAGCUCAAAAUGGGAGGUAAAUUUCUCCUAAGGCUAAAUAUUGGCGAGAGACCGAUAGCGAACAAGUACCGUGAGGGAAAGAUGAAAAGAACUUUGAAAAGAGAGUUAAACAGUACGUGAAAUUGUUGAAAGGGAAACGAUUGAAGUCAGUCAUACUAACGGGAAAUCAACCUCUUGAGUUUGGUCUCGUGGGUUUCGAAGAGUUUUAAAAGCCUUCGGAUUUUCGAGAUUGGGCUCUUCUGGUGUACUUUCUCGUACGGUUAGUCAACAUCGGUUUUGAAUGUCAUAAAAUGACUGGAGGAAUGUGGCUUCGAUCUCGUAUUGAAGUGUUAUAGCCUUUGGUAGAUGUGAUGUUUGAGAUCGAGGAUUGCAACGGAUACCCUUCUGGGCUAUUCGUCUGAUCUCUGAAACGUUGCCUUGAUGUCGAAAGCUUGCUUAUGAUGUUAGGGUAUUACGGUCAAAAGGUUAGAACGGAUUAAAUUCGUUAAGGAUGUUGACGUAAGGCUUUAAACGAC
RNAcentral lists this ribosomal RNA (767 nucleotides) under Funneliformis caledonium. RNAcentral describes it as "eukaryotic LSU rRNA". It matches the Rfam family "Eukaryotic large subunit ribosomal RNA", at positions 38 to 648 of the family's 3401-position model. The record is from RNAcentral. Lineage: Eukaryota; Fungi; Glomeromycota; Glomeromycetes; Glomerales; Glomeraceae.